This 371-nucleotide ribosomal RNA is filed under the name uncultured bacterium. RNAcentral describes it as "partial 16S ribosomal RNA". It matches the Rfam family "Bacterial small subunit ribosomal RNA", at positions 527 to 896 of the family's 1533-position model. The record is from RNAcentral.
GAAGGUMCMAAGCGUUGUUCGGAAUCACUGGGCGUAAAGGGAGCSUAKGCGGCGUGGUAAGUCAGAUGUGAAAUCCCGGGGCUCAACCCCGGAACUGCAUCCGAUACUGCCAUGCUAGAGGAUUGGAGAGGUAGCUGGAAUUCUUGGUGUAGCAGUGAAAUGCGUAGAGAUCAAGAGGAACACUCGUGGCGAAAGCGAGCUACUGGACAAUUCCUGACGCUGAGGCUCGAAGGCUAGGGUAGCGAAAGGGAUUAKAUACCCCUGUAGUCCUAGCAGUAAACGGUGCACGCUUGGUGUGAGGGGAAUCKACCCCCCUUGUGCCGGAGCUAACGCGUUAAGCGUGCCSCCWGGGAAGUACGGUCGCARGACUA